Molecule: ribosomal RNA, 841 nt
Filed under: Salmonella enterica
Lineage: Bacteria; Pseudomonadati; Pseudomonadota; Gammaproteobacteria; Enterobacterales; Enterobacteriaceae
Also listed under: 2 other names
Description: partial 23S ribosomal RNA
Rfam family: Bacterial large subunit ribosomal RNA
Source: RNAcentral
AGACCCGAAACCCGGUGAUCUAGCCAUGGGCAGGUUGAAGGUUGGGUAACACUAACUGGAGGACCGAACCGACUAAUGUUGAAAAAUUAGCGGAUGACCUGUGGCUGGGGGUGAAAGGCCAAUCAAACCGGGAGAUAGCUGGUUCUCCCCGAAAGCUAUUUAGGUAGCGCCUCGUGAAUUCAUCUCCGGGGGUAGAGCACUGUUUCGGCUAGGGGGCCAUCCCGGCUUACCAACCCGAUGCAAACUGCGAAUACCGGAGAAUGUUAUCACGGGAGACACACGGCGGGUGCUAACGUCCGUCGUGAAGAGGGAAACAACCCAGACCGCCAGCUAAGGUCCCAAAGUCAUGGUUAAGUGGGAAACGAUGUGGGAAGGCCCAGACAGCCAGGAUGUUGGCUUAGAAGCAGCCAUCAUUUAAAGAAAGCGUAAUAGCUCACUGGUCGAGUCGGCCUGCGCGGAAGAUGUAACGGGGCUAAACCAUGCACCGAAGCUGCGGCAGCGACGCUGAUGCGUUGUUGGGUAGGGGAGCGUUCUGUAAGCCUGCGAAGGUGGCCUGUGAGGGUUGCUGGAGGUAUCAGAAGUGCGAAUGCUGACAUAAGUAACGAUAAAGCGGGUGAAAAGCCCGCUCGCCGGAAGACCAAGGGUUCCUGUCCAACGUUAAUCGGGGCAGGGUGAGUCGACCCCUAAGGCGAGGCCGAAAGGCGUAGUCGAUGGGAAACGGGUUAAUAUUCCCGUACUUGGUGUUACUGCGAAGGGGGGACGGAGAAGGCUAUGUUGGCCGGGCGACGGUUGUCCCGGUUUAAGCGUGUAGGCUGGUUUUCCAGGCAAAUCCGGAAAAUCA